This 1092-nucleotide long non-coding RNA is filed under the name Homo sapiens (human). RNAcentral's name for it is "HSALNT0086829". The record is from RNAcentral. Lineage: Eukaryota; Metazoa; Chordata; Mammalia; Primates; Hominidae.
CUGGGACCCACAGGAAUUCCCUCCCUUCAGUCCCGGGGGGAGGCGGCCGCGAUCCUGGGGGAGGCGCAGCCUCACAACCCGGACUUUGCGGGCGGGCGGGCACUGGUGAGAAGAGGAAGUGGGAGAGGCCUGGGAAGGAAACUUGGAAACCGAAAACUCGGCGGCCGAGGCUCCGUGCCCCGCGCGCAGCGCUGCUCCUGCCCCGGCCAAGGACGCACGGGCCAGCCGGCGGAACCAGAGGUUUUCAGUGAUGUUGAGAGUCAACAGGAAAUUAAUCAGCAAGUAGAAAAUUGAAAGAAGAUCUGCAUCUUACUGCAGGAGUCAUUAAAAUAAAAGCAGAUUUGGCAAAAUGGCAAGAACCAGAGGAUGAGGAUGUAAAACAAAAACUUUUGGAGUCAUUUUGCCACCAGGAUGAAAAUAGGAUGAAGCUGACAUGACAAAGGUGCAGGUGUUCUGAUAUGAGAAGAACUUCUUCAGAAGGUAUCUUAAUGCAUAUGGGGAAACUGAGGCCCAGACAUGGCAGAGGAGACACAGCAAUAACUAAGGGGCAACUAUUGCAUCCAGAAAAAAAAAAAAUGAAGAUAAUGACUUCUCUGCAACUAAGAUGAAGAUCCACUGAACUUUGGGGUUUGAAAUGCAACGUUAGAACUUCAGACUCCCGGCACCUAGGUCUCCAGCUGCUGGGUGGUGCCAGCAUCAGAGAUACACUCUGCAAAACAUAUACUGUCUUAGGAAAAAGUGACCCUGUUGUCCUUUCAGGCCCAUAUUCCACAAGAAGACAAAUGGAGAUGUAAAAGGAAAACUGCAGCUCCGACUGAAGAGAGAGCAAGUUGUCUGUUCUGAUACAGCCAGGAAAUAAGAUGUUCUGGUUAAUAUGUGCUAAAGAUGUGGUGCUGACUUUCCGACUCAGAAUAUGAUCACAUGUUUUUCUCAUUAAAACUAUAUUGAAUAUUAUUUGACCAUUGUUGAGUCAGUCAUCUUGAUAAAUAUUAUCUUCGUACAGUCCUGAGCAGAGAGUCAGUGACUAGAAUGCCACUGAAACCAGCUUUUUAUAGGACACGGUUUUCAUGGUUUUAGGGCAUGGAGAAACUU